RNAcentral lists this ribosomal RNA (102 nucleotides) under Pogona vitticeps (central bearded dragon). Lineage: Eukaryota; Metazoa; Chordata; Lepidosauria; Squamata; Agamidae. The record is from RNAcentral.
GCUACACUAAACACACCCAACCUCCUGUGAUUUUGGAAAGCUUAGCAAGGUUGUGCCUGCUUAGCACUUAGAUGGAAGACCACCAUAGAAAGCCAGGGAUCU